Molecule: long non-coding RNA, 910 nt
Organism: Oncorhynchus keta (chum salmon)
Lineage: Eukaryota; Metazoa; Chordata; Actinopteri; Salmoniformes; Salmonidae
Exons: 3
Source: RefSeq, a predicted model, not a curated record
GUCCAGCCCACUCCCAGGUAUAGGAUAGCAUAAACUACACAGUCCAACCCACUCCCAGGUAUAGGAUAGCAUAAACUACACAGUCCAGCCCACUCCCAGGUAUAGGAUAGCAUAAACUACACAGUCCAACCCACUCCCAGGUAUAGGAUAGCAUAAACUACACAGUCCAACCCACUCCCAGGUAUAGGAUAGCAUAAACUACACAGUCCAGCCCACUCCCAGGUAUAGGAUAGCAUAAACUACACAGUCCAGCCCACUCCCAGGUAUAGGAUAGCAUAAACUACACAGUCCAACCCACUCCCAGGCAUAGGAUUCACAUUCCAAACCACUCCCAGGUAUAGGAUACACAUUCCAACCCACUCUCAUUCAUAGGAUACACAUUCCAACCCACUCUCAUUCAUAGGAUACACAUUCCAACCCACUCCCAGGUAUAGGAUACACAUUCCAACCCACUCCCAGGCAUAGGAUACACAUUCCAACCCACUCCCAGGUAUAGGAUACACAUUCCAACCCACUCCCAGGCAUAGGAUACACAUUCCAACCCACUCCCAGGUAUAGGAUACACAUUCCAACCCAGUCCCAGGUAUAGGAUACACAUUCCAACCCACUCCCAGGUAUAGGAUACACAUUCCAACCCACUCCCAGGUAUAGGAUACACAUUCCAACCCACUCCCAGGCAUAGGAUACACAUUCCAACCCACUCCCAGGUAUAGGAUACACAUUCCAACCCACUCCCAGGUAUAGGAUACACAUUCCAACCCACUCCCAGGUAUAGGAUACACAUUCCAACCCACUCCCAGGUAUAGGAUACACAUUCCAACCCACUCCCAGGUAUAGGAUACACAUUCCAACCCACUCCCAGGUAUAGGAUACACAUUCCAACCCACUCCCAGGUAUAGGAUACACAUUC